RNAcentral lists this ribosomal RNA (768 nucleotides) under uncultured bacterium. RNAcentral describes it as "bacterial SSU rRNA". It matches the Rfam family "Bacterial small subunit ribosomal RNA", at positions 28 to 776 of the family's 1533-position model. The record is from RNAcentral.
GACGAACGCUGGCGGCGUGCCUAAUACAUGCAAGUCGAGCGAAGUUUUUCUGGUGCUUGCACUAGAAAAACUUAGCGGCGAACGGGUGAGUAACACGUAAAGAACCUGCCUCAUAGACUGGGACAACUAUUGGAAACGAUAGCUAAUACCGGAUAACAGUAUUUCUCGCAUGAGAGAUAUUUAAAAGUUGGUUAUGCUAACACUAUGAGAUGGCUUUGCGGUGCAUUAGCUAGUUGGUGGGGUAAAGGCCCACCAAGGCGACGAUGCAUAGCCGACCUGAGAGGGUGAUCGGCCACACUGGGACUGAGACACGGCCCAGACUCCUACGGGAGGCAGCAGUAGGGAAUCUUCCGCAAUGGGCGAAAGCCUGACGGAGCAACGCCGCGUGAGUGAAGAAGGAUUUCGGUUCGUAAAGCUCUGUUGUUAGGGAAGAAUGGAUAUGUAGUAACUAUACAUAUAAGAGACGGUACCUAACCAGAAAGCCACGGCUAACUACGUGCCAGCAGCCGCGGUAAUACGUAGGUGGCAAGCGUUGUCCGGAAUUAUUGGGCGUAAAGCGCGCGCAGGUGGUUUAAUAAGUCUGAUGUGAAAGCCCACGGCUCAACCGUGGAGGGUCAUUGGAAACUGUUAAACUUGAGUGCAGGAGAGAAAAGUGGAAUUCCUAGUGUAGCGGUGAAAUGCGUAGAGAUUAGGAGGAACACCAGUGGCGAAGGCGGCUUUUUGGCCUGUAACUGACACUGAGGCGCGAAAGCGUGGGGAGCAAACAGG